CCCUUAGAUGUUCUGGGCUGCACGCGUGCUACACUGAUAUUGCCAAUAUGUCAUUCUUAUCCGAAAUGGAUUGGGUAAUCAAGUAAUGAAAUUUCAUGCUUGGAAUCGGUAAUUGCAAUUUUAUCGUGGACGAGGAAUUCCUAGUAAGCGUGAGUCAUCAGCUCGCGUUGAUUACGUCCCUGCCCUUUGUACACACCGCCCGUCGCUACUACCGAUUGAAUGGCUUAGUGAGCCUUUGGGAUUGGCAGCUUGUACCGGCAACGGUAGCAGGCCGCUGAAAACUUAGGCAAACUUGGUCAUUUAGAGGAAGUAAAAGUCGUAACA
Molecule: ribosomal RNA, 324 nt
Filed under: uncultured eukaryote
Lineage: Eukaryota
Description: partial 18S ribosomal RNA
Rfam family: Eukaryotic small subunit ribosomal RNA
Source: RNAcentral